ACUCCUAGGGAGGCAGCAGUGGGGAAUAUUGCACAAUGGGGGAAACCCUGAUGCAGCCAUGCCGCGUGUGUGAAGAAGGCCUUCGGUUGUAAAGCACUUUCAGUAGGGAGGAAGGUAGUGUAGUUAACACCUGCAUUAUUUGACGUUACCUACAGAAGAAGCACCGGCUAACUCCGUGCCAGCAGCCGCGGUAAUACGGAGGGUGCGAGCGUUAAUCGGAAUUACUGGGCGUAAAGCGCAUGCAGGCGGCCUGUUAAGUCAGAUGUGAAAGCCCGGGGCUUAACCUCGGAAUUGCAUUUGAAACUGGCAGGCUAGAGUCUUGUAGAGGGGGGUAGAAUUUCAGGUGUAGCGGUGAAAUGCGUAGAGAUCUGAAGGAAUACCAGUGGCGAA
RNAcentral lists this ribosomal RNA (390 nucleotides) under uncultured bacterium. RNAcentral's name for it is "bacterial SSU rRNA". It matches the Rfam family "Bacterial small subunit ribosomal RNA", at positions 335 to 719 of the family's 1533-position model. The record is from RNAcentral.